This 253-nucleotide ribosomal RNA is filed under the name uncultured bacterium. RNAcentral's name for it is "partial 16S ribosomal RNA". It matches the Rfam family "Bacterial small subunit ribosomal RNA", at positions 524 to 776 of the family's 1533-position model. The record is from RNAcentral.
UACGAAGGGGGCUAGCGUUGUUCGGAUUUACUGGGCGUAAAGGGCGCGUAGGCGGCGCACCAAGUCAGGCGUGAAAGCCCUGGGCUCAACCCGGGAAUUGCGCUUGAGACUGGUGUGCUUGAGUACGGGAGAGGAUAGUGGAAUUCCCAGUGUAGAGGUGAAAUUCGUAGAUAUUGGGAAGAACACCGGUGGCGAAGGCGGCUCACUGGCCCGGAACUGACGCUGAGGCACGAAAGCGUGGGGAGCAAACAGG